This 595-nucleotide ribosomal RNA is filed under the name Trichosporon asahii. RNAcentral's name for it is "partial large subunit ribosomal RNA". It matches the Rfam family "Eukaryotic large subunit ribosomal RNA", at positions 66 to 650 of the family's 3401-position model. The record is from RNAcentral. Lineage: Eukaryota; Fungi; Basidiomycota; Tremellomycetes; Trichosporonales; Trichosporonaceae.
UAACAAGGAUUCCCCUAGUAACGGCGAGUGAAGCGGGAAGAGCUCAAAUUUGAAAUCUGGCAGUCUUCGAUUGUCCGAGUUGUAAUCUAUAGAGGCGUUUUCCGUGCCGGACCGUGUCCAAGUCUCCUGGAAAGGAGUAUCAAAGAGGGUGAUAAUCCCGUACUUAACACGACCACCGGUGCUCUGUGAUACGUCUUCUACGAGUCGAGUUGUUUGGGAAUGCAGCUCAAAAUGGGUGGUGAAUUCCAUCUAAAGCUAAAUAUUGGCGAGAGACCGAUAGCGAACAAGUACCGUGAGGGAAAGAUGAAAAGCACUUUGGAAAGAGAGUUAAACAGUACGUGAAAUUGUUGAAAGGGAAACGAUUGAAGUCAGUCGUGUUCUUUGGAUUCAGCCAGUUCUGCUGGUCUACUUCCUUGGAACGGGUCAACAUCAGUUUUGUCCGGUGGAUAAAGGUAGUAGGAAUGUGACUUCUCCGGAAGUGUUAUAGCCUAUUAUCACAUACACUGGGUGAGACUGAGGACUGCAGCUCGCCUUUAUGGCCGGCCUUCGGGCACGUUCGAGCUUAGGAUGUUGACAUAAUGGCUUUAAACGACCC